Molecule: ribosomal RNA, 394 nt
Filed under: uncultured bacterium
Lineage: Bacteria
Description: partial 16S ribosomal RNA
Rfam family: Bacterial small subunit ribosomal RNA
Source: RNAcentral
CCUACGGGUGGCAGCAGGGAGGAAUAUUGGGCAAGGGACGCAAGUCGGAACCAGCCAGGCCGCGUGAAGGAAGACGGCCCUAUGAGUUGUAAACUGCUUUUGUACGAGGGUAAACGCAGAUACGCGUAUCUGUCUGAAAGUAUCGUACGAAUAAGGAUCGGCUAACUCCGUGCCAGCAGCCGCGGUAAUACGGAGGAGUCAAGCGUUAUCCGGAUUUAUUGGGUUUAAAGGGUGCGUAGGCGGUCGGGUAAGUUAGAGGUGAAAUCCCGAGGCUCAACUUCGGAAUUGCCUCUGAUACUGUUCGGCUAGAGGGUAGUUGCGGUAGGCGGAAUGUGUGGUGUAGCGGUGAAAUGCUUAGAGAUCAUGCAGAACACCGAUUGCGAAGGCAGCUUAC